Molecule: Y RNA, 113 nt
Organism: Callithrix jacchus (white-tufted-ear marmoset)
Lineage: Eukaryota; Metazoa; Chordata; Mammalia; Primates; Cebidae
Rfam family: Y RNA
About the family: Y RNAs are components of the Ro ribonucleoprotein particle (Ro RNP), in association with Ro60 and La proteins. The Y RNAs and Ro60 and La proteins are well conserved, but the function of the Ro RNP is not known.
Source: Ensembl
GGCUGGUCUGAAGGUAGUGAGUUACCUCCACUGAUUGUUGACAGUCAGUUACAUAUCAAACUCCUUGUUCUACUCUUUCCCCGCUUCUCACUGCUGCACUUGGCUAGUCUUUA